This 125-nucleotide ribosomal RNA is filed under the name Lecanorineae sp. RNAcentral describes it as "partial small subunit ribosomal RNA". It matches the Rfam family "Eukaryotic small subunit ribosomal RNA", at positions 1657 to 1779 of the family's 1831-position model. The record is from RNAcentral. Lineage: Eukaryota; Fungi; Ascomycota; Lecanoromycetes; Lecanorales.
CCUUUGUACACACCGCCCGUCGCUACUACCGAUUGAAUGGCUCAGUGAGGCCUUCGGACUGGCCCAGAGAGGGCGGCAACGCCAACUCAGGGCCGGAAAGUUGGUCAAACUCGGUCAUUUAGAGG